Molecule: unclassified non-coding RNA, 195 nt
Filed under: Arabidopsis thaliana (thale cress)
Lineage: Eukaryota; Viridiplantae; Streptophyta; Magnoliopsida; Brassicales; Brassicaceae
Description: partial MIR166b microRNA precursor
Source: RNAcentral
AUCAUUCUCUUCAUCAUCACCACAUUCAUCUCUCUCUCUCUCUCUCUCUCUCUCUCUUUCUCUUCCUUGAUCUUAGCCGGAUCUGUUGGGGGACGAACACAUGAGAGAUAGAUAAAAUAUAAGAAAUUUCUCGAAAAAACCUAAUAGAAAAAGGUCUGUUUCUUAAAGAAGAAGAAGAAGAGGAUUUAAAGAGGG